Molecule: long non-coding RNA, 1935 nt
Organism: Halichondria panicea
Lineage: Eukaryota; Metazoa; Porifera; Demospongiae; Suberitida; Halichondriidae
Exons: 8
Source: RefSeq, a predicted model, not a curated record
CUACGUUUGUAUGCGUGAGCAUGCGCAAUACUUAGUAGGCCAUGUGCUGAAAUCCAUUUUAUUUAUGAGAGAACUGACUGCUAAGAGAAAGACUUCUUGGUCCCCUACGAAGAGACUCUCAAGAAAUAACUUCAGGUUAUUAUUCUGUUAAUGUGUGGCUCUUAGAAGAACCGGGGUAUGAGGGUAACACAGAUGUCUAGCUGGGAGAAGAGUCCAGAGUACAGCUCCUCUUGUUGUGACCAAGUUGGCCACACUGUCCACAGCGUCUGGGCCUCUUGGCAGGGGGUGGAUGGCUGGGAGAGGAGGGACCUGGUGGCUCUGGAGAUGGCUGUCGACUGUCUGGCCGUGGAGCAGAUGGCUCUGGACACGUAAUGUCUUGAUCAGCGACAGGGCAGAACUCUCGGAUCUUAUCAUAGAGGUACCACUGCCGCUGAAGUGACAGACCCUUGGGUACAAUCUCUGAAGGCAUCUCAUCCUGAUCCAGCUCAACACCAUCCUUCAGAAUGUUGUGCUCCUUCCCCACAGAGUCGCUGUGCUUCUUGGUGGCAACAACACCUGGCUUACUGGACAUCACAUGGAAAUGAUGAGUGACCUUGAUCUCUGGGAGUUUCUUAAAGAUUGGUGCAAAGAAACUUGCCCAGUCGUACAUCGGAACCACAACUCCACCAUUGCUAUCCACUACAAGCUGGGCUUUGUUGCAAGUGGCCGACCCCUCCACAACCUGUAAGUAUAACAACAGUGUACAGUCAACCUCGAUGGCCUGAAGGCUUCCGAUUACUGUCCUUCGGUACAGUCUCUUGACGAGCCCAAAGCACCAGUCCGGAAAAAAUUUGGUGUGUCCAACUACCAGAAAUGAGAGAGUGAUGUGAGAGUGGCGGUUGGUCAUCGAGCGCCAUAGCAGUUUCCCGCCUCAUCACAGAGGAAAUUGACUUGGCGGGGAAUUGCCUCACAGCACACCCCAAACAAAGAGCACUUCCGAGAUCCCUACCUGUUGAGCGUAAUCGAAAGAGUAAUGACUCUCGAUAUCCAAAGAGUUCGGAGGAGUGUUUGAAGACAGCGGCGGUGGGGUGAAUUCUCCGUCUUGCUCAAAGUGUGAGCGGAUAGUCACUCUGCACUGGUCGCAUACAGUCUUGUAGUAUGAUCUCUCCUUCUGAACUUUGUCCAGAUGCUCCAUGUAGGCUGUCAGGGUCGCACUCUUCUCGGCAAGUGGCGUGUUGACUGCACGAGAGAGUGCUGUGCUGUUCUGCUGGCAGGUCCAGCACAGAUCAGUCAUAGGCUUCGUCACAACCAGUUUCCAUACUGACCUCUUUGAGGUGCUUGAGGGUAGCAACCUGAUGUCAGUCUUUCGGAACCCAGGGACUCUACCGGGUACUAAACGUACCUACAAAAUGGAUAAAUCUGAAAAACCGAGUACACACGGGUUUCCCCUGGUGGACAUAACUGCUGUAGCUGUUCUUCCUCCCUGCCGCUACGUGUCGAGAUUCAACCACCACACCAUCGCUACGAUUAGUGCAGGCCGAAAUUUGCCCCAAAAGAGCCAUGUCGAGUUCGUCGUGUGAAAGUUCAUUGCAGGCCAUUCUCAUCUUUGUUAUAGAGCUCCAUUGGACCGAGAGCACUUGAGGGGUUACCAGUGGUGCGUGAAGAGAUCCGUACAAGCGCUGCUUCCAAUGGAUCUGUUUCAUGUCUAAUGUCGCCAUCAUCGUCAUCGUCAUCACCUAAACAAAGGCAAGAAUUGUUAAAAGUUAAAGCCUAAAAUUGUUAUUUCUUACCUUGCAGCGAGAGGAUGGGCUCGUCAAACUCAAACCUAGAGUCAGUAUCCCCCAUGUCUUCAGUCCCUACAUUGUAGCAUUUUGUAUUACAUUUUAUUUCCAUUGCUUUAUUGUUCUGUUUCAUUUUGAUUACUGUGUUGUUUUAUACGUACCAUCGGUUUCUCUC